Molecule: RNA transcript, 2365 nt
Organism: Eucalyptus grandis
Lineage: Eukaryota; Viridiplantae; Streptophyta; Magnoliopsida; Myrtales; Myrtaceae
Exons: 1
Source: RefSeq, a predicted model, not a curated record
ACGCAAAUCGUGCCAAACAAGCCAUGUCAUGAUCAACCUAAUCCGAUCUCGCCGUUUCUUUACAUCCCUCCACCCCGCCACCGCCACCAUCUUCACUGCCGUCCGCUUCCCGAUCUCUCGCUUUCUCACUCACUCCGUCACUCGCUUCCUCCAUCAUCUCAUGGACGAGCCCACAGGCACCGUCCUCUUCACCACCGUCGGCCGCCCCUACUUCGGCUUCGACGUCUUCUCCCUCGACCUCGCCUCCGGCCGCGAGCGCCGCCUCACCGACGGCCUCUCCAUCAACUUCAACGCCCAAUUCGCCUCCGCCGGUGGCGAGGAUGGCGAGGACGACCCAGAUGCCGUCGUCUUCGUCUCCGACCGGACCGGCUGCCCCCGGGUCUACCUCGCCCGGUCCGGCUCCUCCCAGCCCGAGCCGCUCCCUUCCGCGCCCGGCAGCCUCUUCCACGACCGGCCCGUCCUCCGGAACGGCCGGCUCUACUUCAUCUCGGCUCACGAGGACCCGGGCAAGCCGUUCGCGAGCUGGUCCGCUCUCUACUCGGCCGACCUGGAGGGUACCCAAAUCGCCAGGUUGACCCCGUACGGCUCCGCCGACUACAGCCCGGCCGUCUCGCGGUCGGGGAAGUUCGUCGCCGUCGCGUCCUACGGAUCGCGCCCUUGGGGCGGCGAGUUCCACGCCCUGAAUACGGACAUCGUCGUGUUCCGGGAAUCCGACCCAACAGAGCGGGUCGUCGUGGCGGAGGGCGGCGGCUGGCCCACCUGGUCCGGCGACUCCAUCGUCUACUUCCACCGGAGGGCGGAGGAUGGGUGGUGGAGCAUUUUCCGGGUCGAAUUCGAGUUCCCCUCGGACGCGGAUAUCUCCGGGUUCCCGCUGGCCCGACCCGGAUCACUCCUCCAGGGGUCCACUGCUUCACUCCGGCCUCCAUGCCCGGCUCCAACAAAAUCGCCGUCGCGACGCGGCGGCGGGGCAAGAGCUACCGGCACAUCGAGAUCUUCGACGCCGGGUCGGAGUCCUUCGUCCCCGUCACCGAACCGGUGAACCCGAACUUCCACCACUACAACCCGUUCGCGUCUCCCGGGUCGCGGUACAUCGGGUACCACCGGUUCCGAGGCGAGUCGACUCAGGGCGAGUCGAGGGUCCCGAACCUCGACCCGAUCGCGUCGCCCAUCAAGGGGCUCCGGAUGCUGAGGCUGAACGGGUCGUUCCUUCUUUUUCCGCGGACGGCGAGCUCAUCGCCUUCAACCACGACUUCGAGGCCUCCGUCAACGGCGGCGUCAAGAUCGUCCGGUCCGACGGCUCGAGGCGGUGGACGGUGAUCAAGGAUCGGACCGCCUUCUACAACUCGUGGAGCCCCACCGAGAAGAACGUCAUUUACACCUCGAUCGGACCGAUCUUCGACUCGCCCAAAGCGACGGUCCAGAUCGCUCGGCUCGAGUUCGACUUAUCCGGUCCCGAGGGCGGCGUCAAAUGCGACGUGAAGGUGCUCACGAGGGAGGACACGGGAACAACGCCUUCCCCUCGUGCUCUCCCGAUGGCAAGUGGCUCGUGUUCCGGUCCGGUCGGACCGGCCACAAGAACUUGUACGCGGUCGAUGCCGUGAACGGCGAGUUCGGCGGCGGGAUCCGCCAGCUGACGGAUGGGCCAUGGAUCGACACGAUGCCAUCGUGGUCGCCCAACGGCGACCUCAUAGCCUUCUCCUCGAACCGGCACAACCCGGACAAUGUGAACGCCUUCAGCAUCUAUCUCAUUAAACCAGACGGGUCGGGUUUGAGGAGGGUUCACGUGGCAGGACCAGAGGGGUCUCCCGAGGUCGAUCGGGAGAGGAUCAAUCACGUGUGCUUCAGCAGGGACGGGGAGUGGCUGCUGUUCACAGCGAACUUGGGCGGGGUGACGGCGGAGCCGGUGUCGUGGCCCAACCAGUUCCAACCAUAUGGGGAGCUAUAUGUGGUGAGGCUGGACGGGAGCGGGCUCCAGAGGCUGACGUGGAAUGGGUUCGAGAAUGGGACGCCCGCGUGGCACUCAUCGGAUGACUUGGGCCCCGGCGAUCUAAGGUCGAGGAUCGGCGAGGGUUGGGACGGGGAUAAGUUGAGAGGGCAAUUCGAGGAACCCCUAUGGAUAUCUUGCGAUAUUUGAAGAAAAAUGCCACAUGGAGUAACCCCUAUGGAUAUUUUGCGAUAUUUGAAGAAAAAUGCCACAUGGAGUGGAGAAAAAUCAAGAAAAUAAAUUAAGCAAAUUUGCUUAAAAGGAAAAUAAAUUUGCUUAGUUUUCCUUUAUGUAUUUUGGAUUUUGGGUGGGGAUUGUAAAGAAAAUAAAGAUAUUUGAGCCUUGAUGCUCAAUUAAUGGAGCUUUACUUAGGCCCUUGAA